RNAcentral lists this small RNA (148 nucleotides) under chicken gut metagenome. Its description in RNAcentral is "M-box riboswitch (ykoK leader)". It matches the Rfam family "M-box riboswitch aptamer (ykoK leader)", at positions 11 to 156 of the family's 169-position model. Rfam says of the family: M-box riboswitch, also know as ykoK leader is described as a metaloregulatory RNA that sense divalent metals and function as a genetic control element of genes related to divalent metal transport in bacteria. The record is from RNAcentral.
AACCCGGUAGGCAAGGCUACCGCGGGGAUAUGGGUUGCUGCCGCGAAACAGUGGAGACACUGUGAGAUGGUUUGAGCAAGUGAUAUCGAAGCACAAGGUAUCAUUUAACGCAACUUCACCGCCCCGUGAUGCUGAAGCUCGUACGGUG